Molecule: long non-coding RNA, 244 nt
Filed under: Lathyrus oleraceus (garden pea)
Lineage: Eukaryota; Viridiplantae; Streptophyta; Magnoliopsida; Fabales; Fabaceae
Description: Pisum sativum (pea) long non-coding RNA (PSAT_LNC014037)
Source: RNAcentral
UCACUUAUAAUUUAGAUAAUUACUUAUUUUUGUGGAAUGUGUGUGCAUUAUUAUUUUGUAUUUACUCAUUUAUACCAAGUCUUGAAUACAUACGUAUGGCGUGUUAUAAUUGUGACGAGAUUAUGUCGAUUUCACCGAUUCAAAAUCAUUCAAACCAAUUUCGAAAUAAAUCACAUACUUAUCGAUUCAAUGUCGAGCCCAUUUUCAAAAUACCUUUUGUAAGUCGAUUGCUUUUAAAGCAUCG